CUUAUGGAAACAUAGAGGUCAGUUCGGCUGGAUCGGUGACAGGUGCUGCAUGGCUGUCGUCAGCUCGUGUCGUGAGAUGUUGGGUUAAGUCCCGCAACGAGCGCAACCCUUGUCCUUGGUUGCCAUCAUUCAGUUGGGCACUUUAAGGAGACUGCCGGUGUUAAACCGGAGGAAGGUGGGGAUGACGUCAAGUCCUCAUGGCCCUUAUGUCCAGGGCUACACACGUGCUACAAUGGCCGGUACAAAAGGCGGCGAUAUCGCGAGAUUCAGCGAAUCCCCAAAGCCGGUCUCAGUUCGGAUUGGAGUCUGCAACCCGACUCCANGAAGUUGGAAUCGCUAGUAAUCGCGUAUCAGCAUGACGCGGUGAAUACGUUCCCGGGCCUUGUACACACCGCCCG
This 398-nucleotide ribosomal RNA is filed under the name uncultured Desulfuromonadaceae bacterium. RNAcentral's name for it is "bacterial SSU rRNA". It matches the Rfam family "Bacterial small subunit ribosomal RNA", at positions 997 to 1396 of the family's 1533-position model. Lineage: Bacteria; Pseudomonadati; Thermodesulfobacteriota; Desulfuromonadia; Desulfuromonadales; Desulfuromonadaceae. The record is from RNAcentral.